UGAAUAAAGAGCAUUGCUGGAUAAUUAUAUUUAACCAGAUUGCUAAGUCAGAUUCUCUUUAUGUCCUCUUUACUUAUAUUAAAAGCGUUUUGUUUUUUGUAUUUUGGUAAUCGUGGUGUCCGGGCCAUCUUGCGCACCCACGUCGACUUAUUUCACGGGAUACCUGCUAUUUUUCACCAACACACCUACCAGAUAACACUGUUUACCAAGGCUUGAACAAAUAAGAAGAAAUCACCUAGUACUUUUGUCUACGCUGGCAUUUGAACCACUUUAUUAACCAUUAGGCCACACCCUUGGGUACCUAUCUCCGCUUUGAACCACUUUAUUAACUAUUAGGCCACACCCUUGGGUACCUAUCUCCGCUUUGAACCACUUUAUUAACUAUUAGGCCACACCCUUGGGUACCUAUCUCCAGCGGUGCUGGAUGUGAUUACAAUUUGUGAUACUUUAUAGAGUCAAUCUCGCUAUUUUCUUUAUUAAUUUGGUUCUCCCUACUUUUAUAAUUGUGUUACAUAUCCCGUGGAUUUAGUCGAGGUGCGAGAGCUGGCCCAGACACCAC
Molecule: long non-coding RNA, 559 nt
Filed under: Capsicum annuum
Lineage: Eukaryota; Viridiplantae; Streptophyta; Magnoliopsida; Solanales; Solanaceae
Description: long non-coding RNA (CANN_LNC010803)
Source: RNAcentral